Molecule: non-coding RNA, 1959 nt
Organism: Manis javanica (Malayan pangolin)
Lineage: Eukaryota; Metazoa; Chordata; Mammalia; Pholidota; Manidae
Source: RefSeq, a predicted model, not a curated record
GCGCGGUGCGCGCUGCGCGCUCUUUUCGGACGGCGGCGGUCAUGGCGCUCCCUGCGGCAGCGGCUUGGGUCCCCGGGCUGCCUGGACCCAGCAGAGCACAUCGCGGGCGCGCCGCCCCUGCGUCCGAUCGGUGCGCCCUCCCUCCGCGGCUGCAGGGGCCCCGGGCCCGGCGCCGUCCGCCUGCGCUUCCCCCAGCGCGUCUCUGACCCACUGGCUGCGACCUUGAGGAAGUCGCCUCGUAUUUCUGCGCUUGUCUGGCCUCAUGAGGAGGUUCUGCAUUGGACAGCAGGACGUGGGAGAGGACCACUGGAGCGUCAGUGAGUGGAAAAUGGGAGCAGAUUGCAGUUGGCUAACGUGCUGAAGAGCAGAGCAUUGCUUAUCUCUCAACGUUGGAUCAAAAAAAUGGUGGUCCCCAGAUUUUCCUUUGGGGUAUAGAAUAAUGCCACCUGACAAUCUGAAAUGAUUUAGGAGGCGUAAGUCCCAGAGCAUCACUAACUGUCACCGUGUGUGGACUUGGCAGUCCGUCCAUCAGUACCCCACUAGUGGCUUGCGGAGAGGGUGCAGAACUUCUGAGGAAGGUCCCUCUUGCUGCACUGGGAUCCUCCAGUUCAGUAAACGGAGAAGCCCCUUACCGCUCCCUGAACAUCAGCUCACAGUGUGGACACUGGCCAGAAGAACCGUCACAGUCCAGACCAAGCAUGUGGCAGUGUCUGAAGACUAAUAGGGAGGAGGGAGGUGGAGGCCAGGGAUGCUGCAGCGCCCUUCAGCACACAGCGCAGCUGCUGCAACUGGCACACAUGAUGGGGCAUCCAUGGACGGCUUCCCUGGAGUGAGUGUGGGGAAUCCAGUCCAGGUUAAAGAGACCUCUGACCUUCCGGCUCCAACUGAGACCCAAGGUGUUGACCAGGGAGUGUGGCGACCCGUCCUGCCAGCCCGUGAGGUGCUGCUUGUGGGUUAUCUCAGACAUGGCUGGUUUCUGUUCACAGAUGAGGCCCCUGCUGGAGAAGCCUGGGGCAGCAUCCUCAGGCCCCUGGGAACGCACGCACGGUACCGCAGUGGGGAGACAGCACAUGGCUUUGGGGCACUUGUCCGCACCCUGCUGCGAGGGCACACAGGACAGGACUGGGGAAACCGGCUCUAAGAAGUGUCUCUGGAGGAACAGAACCACAGGCUUAUAAUAGCUGAGCAGCGCAUCCGCGUUGGAAAGCAGCCCGGGUGCCCAGCCAGCAGGUUCUACGCCAACAUGGUGGCUUUGCAGGCUGAGGGCGCUGCUGCCUAAGUGUCAGCUGAGAUGGCUCAGGAUCUGAGAGACCAAGGGAAAGCCGGUGACGGGGACACAGUGGACUGGGGGACAUACAGUGCACGUUUGCAGAAGGCCCCAAGGUGCUGCAGCCCAGCUCUGCUUUUCAAAAAUGAGUGGGCAGACAGGUGGUCUCCCUGCCGGGCAGGGUUAGUACAUCCACCGCGCCUCACGGGUCAGCAGGGGGCCCCUGUGUGUGUGACACUGCAGUGGGUAAAGGACACGGCACCCAUCUGAAACCCCCCACUCAUGUCUGGGGAGCACGGUCAUGGCCAGCUGCAGGGUCCAAGUGCCCAGUCCCAAGCUUUCACUGUAUUCAGAUAUCUUCCCCUCAAGAGGAAAACUCUAGAUGGGAAAAUCAUUUUAAUAUAUUUGGAGUUUAGGAAUACUGGGAAUAUGGUGUAAUAGUUGAGAUUUUACAGUGUGUGUUUUAGGCAAAAGGUUUUUAGAGAAGCCAUGUGGGGGGUUGUGCACCUCAUUGGGCAGGGCAGGUUGGAAUGUGGGCACUCUCAACGUGCCAGCUCCAGGGAAGGGGGCCAGGCUCCAGGGAGCACAGCUUCCUGUUGUGGGUCGGGGCAGAAGAGAGGAAAUGCUUGGCUCUUUCCCAGAUAACAGACUGUACCUAGAAGUUCAUUAAAAUGAGUUAAAGAACAAGGUCA